Molecule: long non-coding RNA, 701 nt
Organism: Prunus persica (peach)
Lineage: Eukaryota; Viridiplantae; Streptophyta; Magnoliopsida; Rosales; Rosaceae
Exons: 2
Source: RefSeq, a predicted model, not a curated record
AUAUCACGCCCAGCUUUGGAGGCCUUUUCUUGCAGAGAAGCAAGAGGAGGAUCGACGGCGGAGAAGGCGUCUUCCAUCGUUUUCCAGCGGAGAAGCAAUCAAUGACAGAGAAAGCGUUUCUGUUUUCUGGCGGAGAAGCAAUUGAUGACGGCUCGUCCUGGCCUGGCGUCACGACUGCUGGCGGAGAAGGCGUUUUCUGAUCCAUGGAGAAGCAAUUGGAGGAUCGAUGCCGGUGAAUUCGCAAAGCUCAAAGGCUCCUCCUGCUAUUUCGGUGACUCGGCCUAAUAGAUCUCCGUCUCUUGCGGUGAAUAAAGGGCAACGGAGUUGGUCAUCUACAGACAGCGGGAGUCUGACGGUGGUGGUCGGCGACGGGAGGUGGCUGCCAACGGUGGUGGUGGCAGGUGGCCGGCGGCGGGAGUCCGGCGGUGGUGGCCGGCGGCGGAAGUCCGGCAGUGGUGGCCGGCGGCAGGAUUCCGGCAGUGGUGGCCGGCGGCGAGAUAUGAUUGGCUAGAUAUGGACAUGUGGCAUAGUAUGCUUGCCUUAGAAGGAGUGGCAUUGUGUGUAAUUUUGAUAUGUUUUAAUGAUAUUUUUGUAAAAUUAGGUACCACAAUUUGGUCUUUUGCCUUAUGCUAAUUAGAUAAAAUUAUAUUACUAUCUUCCAAAUUAGUAAACUAUAUUGUGUUUUAAAACUAAAGCUCCCU